GCUGGCAACACAUGGGAAGAGGAAAGAGUGAAUAAAGCAAAAGAAAACGGUUCAAUAUUGGAGAGGGUGGGAGCUACAGGGGACGCACUCAAUCUCUCUCCAAUCACACCACAAAAAGUGGUACUCUCUCUGAAUGAAAAAGAAAAGAAAAAAAGGUUAUGACAAAAGAUAAAAAAAAGGAGAACACCACAAUUCGCUAUCGGUCACCGUUAAACCUCCACCCCUUUUCCACUUCAUCACCCUCCGCCGCUCGCCAGUAAAUCAAAUGCCGGAAAUCUCCGCACAACCCCCUCACCUUUGAUCGCGUCUACCAGCGUCCACCGGCGAACCCUCGCUUUCCUUUCGCCGGAACCAAAACCUUUCCGCACCCUUAAC
This 375-nucleotide long non-coding RNA is filed under the name Lathyrus oleraceus (garden pea). Its description in RNAcentral is "Pisum sativum (pea) long non-coding RNA (PSAT_LNC016901)". Lineage: Eukaryota; Viridiplantae; Streptophyta; Magnoliopsida; Fabales; Fabaceae. The record is from RNAcentral.